This 258-nucleotide unclassified non-coding RNA is filed under the name uncultured fungus. Its description in RNAcentral is "sequence contains ITS1". Lineage: Eukaryota; Fungi. The record is from RNAcentral.
AAAAUUCAAAAAACAGCCUCGCGCUGGAAAUCAUCUUUUGUCCGAACCCCGGUUCGGGCUAGGAUGAAGCGCAUGUUGGCCCACAUUUUGUGCACCGUUCCGUCUUUGGUGGUGGGGUGAGCGACCUUUUCUUGGCCCUCGCCUGUCAGCUCGGACCUGCAAGGGGUCGGAGCCGUGGACAAGCCACCGCCCUUUUGCUUCAAACCUUUGAUGUGAUUUCUUUUCUGUCUGACACUUUACUUGUAUGAAUGUACAAAA